CAUUAAGAAGCUGAUUUAGCGUUAACCUUUUAAGUUAAAGAUAGAGAGCAGAGCUCUCCUUAAUGG
This 66-nucleotide transfer RNA is filed under the name Noctilio leporinus (greater bulldog bat). RNAcentral describes it as "tRNA-Lys". Lineage: Eukaryota; Metazoa; Chordata; Mammalia; Chiroptera; Noctilionidae. The record is from RNAcentral.